GACGAACGCUGGCGGCGUGCUUAACACAUGCAAGUCGAACGGUGAAGCGCCUUCCUUUUUGGUGGGUGUGGAUGAGUGGCGAACGGGUGAGUAACACGUGAGUAACCUGCCCCCUUCUUCUGGAUAACCGCAUGAAAGUGUGGCUAAUACGGGAUAUUCUGGGUCUGUCGCAUGAUGGGUCUGGGAAAGAUAUUGUUUCGGUGGGGGAUGGGCUCGCGGCCUAUCAGCUUGUUGGUGGGGUGAUGGCCUACCAAGGCGGUGACGGGUAGCCGGCCUGAGAGGGUGGACGGUCACACUGGGACUGGGACACGGCCCAGACUGCUACGGGAGGCAGCAGUGGGGAAGAUUGCAGAAUGGGCGCAAGCCUGAUGCAGCGACGCCGCGUGAGGGAUGGAGGCCUUCGGGUUGUGAGCCUCUUUCGCCAGUGAAGCAGGCCUGCCUCGUUUGUGGGUGGGUUGACGGGAGCUGGAUAAGAAGCGCCGGCUAACUACG
RNAcentral lists this ribosomal RNA (492 nucleotides) under uncultured bacterium. RNAcentral's name for it is "partial 16S ribosomal RNA". It matches the Rfam family "Bacterial small subunit ribosomal RNA", at positions 28 to 505 of the family's 1533-position model. The record is from RNAcentral.